Molecule: ribosomal RNA, 352 nt
Filed under: uncultured bacterium
Lineage: Bacteria
Description: bacterial SSU rRNA
Rfam family: Bacterial small subunit ribosomal RNA
Source: RNAcentral
GGAGGAUGCGAGCGUUAUCCGGAUUUAUUGGGUUUAAAGGGAGCGCAGACGGGAGAUUAAGUCAGUUGUGAAAGUUUGCGGCUCAACCGUAAAAUUGCAGUUGAUACUGGGUGUCUUGAGUACAGUAGAGGCAGGCGGAAUUCGUGGUGUAGCGGUGAAAUGCUUAGAUAUCACGAAGAACCCCGAUUGCGAAGGCAGCCUGCUAAGCCGCCACUGACGUUGAGGCUCGAAAGUGCGGGUAUCAAACAGGAUUAGAUACCCUGGUAGUCCGCACGGUAAACGAUGGAUACUCGCUGUUGGCGAUAGACGGUCAGCGGCCAAGCGAAAGCGUUAAGUAUCCCACCUGGGGAGU